This is a non-coding RNA of Saccoglossus kowalevskii, 503 nucleotides long. NCBI's taxonomy places the organism in Eukaryota, Metazoa, Hemichordata, Enteropneusta, Harrimaniidae. The record is from RefSeq and is a predicted model, not a curated record.
AGUAGAGCCGACAUCGGUACAGAACACAGUAGAAAUGGGUCAGAAUCAGUCGGGUGCAGGUGGGGGAUCGCCUGGUGAUAAAAAAGAUGACAAAGAUAAAAAGAAGAAGUAUGAACCUCCUGUUCCCACAAGAGUUGGUAAAAAGAGGCGAAGGACAAGGGGCCCAGAUGCUGCCAAUAAACUACCACAAGUCACACCCCACACAAGGUGCAGAUUAAAGUUACUGAAGCUAGAAAGAAUAAAAGAUUACUUGCUGAUGGAAGAGGAGUUUAUUAGAAAUCAAGAAAGACUGAAACCACAGGAAGAAAAACAUGAGGAGGAACGUUCUAAAGUUGAUGAUUUACGUGGAACUCCCAUGUCAGUUGGAUCUUUAGAAGAAAUUCAUAGAUGAUAACCAUGCCAUUGUAUCUACAUCAGUUGGAUCAGAACAUUAUGUUAGUAUUCUCUCAUUUGUUGAUAAAGAUCAAUUGGAGCCAGGAUGUUCUGUCUUGAUGAAUCAUAAG